Molecule: microRNA precursor, 59 nt
Filed under: Homo sapiens (human)
Lineage: Eukaryota; Metazoa; Chordata; Mammalia; Primates; Hominidae
Description: Hsa-Mir-430-P21_pre stem-loop
Rfam family: mir-515 microRNA precursor family
Source: RNAcentral
CUCUAGAGGGAAGCGCUUUCUGUUGUCUGAAAGAAAAGAACGCGCUUCCCUAUAGAGGG